This 498-nucleotide ribosomal RNA is filed under the name uncultured bacterium. RNAcentral's name for it is "partial 16S ribosomal RNA". It matches the Rfam family "Bacterial small subunit ribosomal RNA", at positions 29 to 523 of the family's 1533-position model. The record is from RNAcentral.
AUUGAACGCUGGCGGCAUGCCUUACACAUGCAAGUUGAACGGUAACGCGGGGCAACCUGGCGACGAGUGGCGAACGGGUGAGUAAUGCAUCGGAACGUGCCCAGAAGUGGGGGAUAGCCCGGCGAAAGCCGGAUUAAUACCGCAUGAGACCUGAGGGUGAAAGCGGGGGAUCGCAAGACCUCGCGCUUUUGGAGCGGCCGAUGUCAGAUUAGCUAGUUGGUGGGGUAAAGGCCUACCAAGGCGACGAUCUGUAGCUGGUCUGAGAGGACGACCAGCCAAAGUGGGCCGGAGACAAGGCCCAGACUCCUACGGGAGGCAGCAGUGGGGAAUUUUGGACAAUGGGCGCAAGCCUGAUCCAGCCAUGCCGCGCGCGGGAAGAAGGCCUUCGGGUUGUAAACCGCUUUUGUCAGGGAAGAAACGCUCUGGGCUAAUACCCUGGGGUAAUGACGGUACCUGAAGAAUAAGCACCGGCUAACUACGUGCCAGCCGCCGCCGUAA